Molecule: ribosomal RNA, 252 nt
Filed under: uncultured bacterium
Lineage: Bacteria
Description: partial 16S ribosomal RNA
Rfam family: Bacterial small subunit ribosomal RNA
Source: RNAcentral
UACGAAGGGGGCUAGCGUUGCUCGGAAUCACUGGGCGUAAGGGUGCGCAGGCGGGUCUUUAAGUCAGGGGGGAAAUCCUGGAGCUCAACUCCAGAACUGCCUUUGAUACUGAGGAUCUUGAGUACGGGAGAGGUGAGUGGAACUGCGAGUGUAGAGGUGAAAUUCGUAGAUAUUCGCAAGAACACCAGUGGCGAAGGCGGCUCACUGGCCCGUUACUGACGCUGAGGCACGAAAGCGUGGGGAGCAAACAGG